Molecule: long non-coding RNA, 711 nt
Filed under: Medicago truncatula (barrel medic)
Lineage: Eukaryota; Viridiplantae; Streptophyta; Magnoliopsida; Fabales; Fabaceae
Description: lncRNA gene21381
Source: RNAcentral
UAUUAUAUCUGACUAAAGUUGAUAGGUUCAUGUUAUUUAUUUACAUUAUUAACUCUGAUAUUUAAAAAUAACCCAUGGCCCUACCGAACUUAUUCAUGUCUAUUCAUUGAUGGAUUGCUAUCAAUAAGAUGUGAAUUCUGAAAUAUUGUUGCUUAUUUUGAAUUUCUUAUUAUUUUAGGAGAGAAAGGAUGUUAUUGAGAAAAAUAAAAAGCUUGAGCGCAAGAACUGGUUAUAUUGAUUGUUAUCUUGAAAAAUUAUAUAUUGAUCGUUGAAAUCAUUUUCCUUAUCAGAAUACCCUGAUUGUGAAGUGUGAGGCCAAAGACGAUUGUUGUUGUAUAUUGUAGAUAUCUUGAUGAAAUUAUCAUGGUCGGUUAUGAGGUAUAAGACGUGUAAUAAUAUUAAUUUAAAAAUAAUAUAUACUCCCAACUCUAUAAAAUGAGUUUAUCUCUAUUUAAAGAUAUAUUCGUUCAUUAAAUGAAGAGGAUCGCAACUCCAUAAUAUAACAUAUAAUAUGAUGAUUGUACUUGUUGAUUGGAUUACUCUUGAAGUUGCCAACAAAGUAAUAAAAAAUUGUGCUAUUUGUGUUGUUAUUUGUUCAAUCAAAAAGAUAUUGAAGGAACUAACAUAAAAGAUGGCAUCACAAUAUGAUUUUACAUUGUCGGUGUAUAUUAGAGCUUCAAGACUAUAAUGAGCAUAUUUCAUUUGGCUAGU